Molecule: ribosomal RNA, 478 nt
Filed under: uncultured bacterium
Lineage: Bacteria
Description: partial 16S ribosomal RNA
Rfam family: Bacterial small subunit ribosomal RNA
Source: RNAcentral
GACGAACGCUGGCGGCGUGCUUAACACAUGCAAGUCGAACGGUAAGGCCCUUCGGGGUACACGAGUGGCGAACGGGUGAGUAACACGUGGGUGAUCUGCCCUGCACUUCGGGAUAAGCCUGGGAAACUGGGUUCAAUACCGGAUAGGACCACUGCCUGCAUGGGUGGUGGUGGAAAGCUUUUGCGGUGUGGGAUGGGCCCCGGGCCUAGCAGCUGGUUGGUGGGGUGAUGGCCUACCAAUGCGACGACGGGUAGCCGGCCUGAGAGGGUGACCGGCCACACUGGGACUGGAAUACGGCCCAGACUCCUACUGGAGGCAGCAGUGGGGAAUAUUGCACAAUGGGCGCAAGCCUGAUGCAGCGACGCCGCGUGAGGGAUGACGGCCUUCGGGUUGUAAACCUCUUUCAGCACCGACGAAGCGCAAGUGACGGUAGGUGCAGAAGAAGGACCGGCCAANUANGUGCCAGCAGCCGCCGUAA